Molecule: ribosomal RNA, 846 nt
Filed under: Peribacillus simplex
Lineage: Bacteria; Bacillati; Bacillota; Bacilli; Caryophanales; Bacillaceae
Description: bacterial SSU rRNA
Rfam family: Bacterial small subunit ribosomal RNA
Source: RNAcentral
GCAGUCGAGCGAAUCGAUGGGAGCUUGCUCCCUGAGAUUAGCGGCGGACGGGUGAGUAACACGUGGGCAACCUGCCUAUAAGACUGGGAUAACUUCGGGAAACCGGAGCUAAUACCGGAUACGUUCUUUUCUCGCAUGAGAAAAGAUGGAAAGACGGUUUACGCUGUCACUUAUAGAUGGGCCCGCGGCGCAUUAGCUAGUUGGUGAGGUAAUGGCUCACCAAGGCGACGAUGCGUAACCGACCUGAGAGGGUGAUCGGCCACACUGGGACUGAGACACGGCCCACACUCCUACGGGAGGCAGCAGUAGGGAAUCUUCCGCAAUGGACGAAAGUCUGACGGAGCAACGCCGCGUGAACGAAGAAGGCCUUCGGGUCGUAAAGUUCUGUUGUUAGGGAAGAACAAGUACCAAAGUAACUGCUGGUACCUUGACGGUACCUAACCAGAAAGCCACGGCUAACUACGUGCCAGCAGCCGCGGUAAUACGUAGGUGGCAAGCGUUGUCCGGAAUUAUUGGGCGUAAAGCGCGCGCAGGUGGUUCCUUAAGUCUGAUGUGAAAGCCCACGGCUCAACCGUGGAGGGUCAUUGGAAACUGGGGAACUUGAGUGCAAAAGAGGAGAGUGGAAUUCCAAGUGUAGCGGUGAAAUGCGUAUAGAUUUGGAGGAACACCAGUGGCGAAAGCGACUUUCUGGUCUGUAACUGACACUGACGCGCGAAAGCGUGGGGAGCAAACAGGAUUACAUACCCUGGUAGUCCACGCCGUAAACGAUGAGUGCUAAGUGUUAGAGGGUUUCCGCCCUUUAGUGCUGCAGCUAACGCAUUAAGCACUCCGCCUGGGGAGUACGGC